CUUUAUUAGAACAGACAUACCAGGUGAAGACGGUCAUGUGACUUUAUUAGAACAGACAUACCAGGUGAAGACGGUCAUGUGACUUUAUUAGAACAGACAUACCAGGUGAAGACGGUCAUGUGACUUUAUUAGAACAGUAAAUGGUGAAGGAAACUGGAAAUACAACAUCUCAUUGUAAACAAUGACUAAGACAAUAAUAUAUGACAUUUAGCAGACGCUUUCUUUUCAUAGUAAUUUACAUGUCAUGUGUGCAGACAAUUGUAAUUUCAUACAUAUCAUAAUUCACCACACAAGUUAGUCAAGGAGAAGGAGAGAGUGGAAGGUGUGUUUAGCCUGGGUGCCAGUCAGGAUAGCCUGGGUGUGGGUGCCAGUCAGUUUAGCCUGGGUGCCAGUCAGUUUAGCCUGGGUGCCAGUCUGUUUAGCCUGAAUACCAGUCAGUUUAGCCUGGGUGCCAGUCUGUUUAGCCUGGGUGCCUGUCAGUUUAGCCUGGGUGCCAGUCAGUUUAGCCUGGGUGCCAGUCUGUUUAGCCUGGGUGCCAGUCAGGAUAGCCUGGGUGUGGGUGCCAGUCAGUUUAGCCUGGGUGCCAGUCAGUUUAGCCUGGGUGCCAGUCUGUUUAGCCUGAAUACCAGUCAGUUUAGCCUGGGUGCCUGUUUCUGUUCUCUUGACAACUCCUAUGGAAUUGUCAUAACAAUGACAUCACUGGAGUUGUCCAGAGAUCAGAAACAGAUCUGGGAUCAGGCUAGAGUGGCAUCUUAAAUGCACAACAACAGUUCCUCUUGGAGGAAUAAAGAGAACAGAGAUCACUAGAGAUCUCACAGGUCCCUAUAGAGAUGACUACUAGUUUUGACCAGUCUGGCACCCUAAUCCCUAUGUAGUGCACUAGUUUUGACAAGUCUGGCACCCUAAUCCCUAUGUAGUGCACUAGUUUUGACCAGUCUGGCACCCUAAUCCCUAUGUAGUGCACUAGUUUUGACCAGAAGCAGGUGUCCAGGUGUCUUAACUGCUGUGUAUUUGUGUUUCCUAUGUUUUGACUGAGCGGUUGUCAAAUAUUCUGUUGUUGUUGUUGUUGUUGUUGUGUUCAUUUACAGACGUUUUCUCGGAUAGCUAAAAUCUAUCACCAUAUAUGUCAUAAUAUUUAUAUAAAUUAAAUUCUCGGAUUCAACAUGUUCUUUAGACGAUGUAGCAAGGUGGUAUACACCACAGGGACAUGUUCUUUAGACGAUGUAGCAAGGUGGUAUACACCACAGGGACAUGUUCUUUAGACGAUGUAGCAAGGUGGUAUACACCACAGGGACAUGUUCUUUAGACGAUGUAGCAAGGUGGUAUACACCACAGGGACAUGUUCUUUAGACGAUGUAGCAAGGUGGUAUACCUUAUACCAAGUCCCAACAGUACAGGGACUUGGUAGCUAUAUAACGUUGUGAUCCUCUAACAACUAGAACAAGGUGUUCUCAUUUCAAUUCUACUGUUCCAACAGUGAGGUCCUUUCAGUGGAACCCCAUUGGCUGUGUUGUCUAGUGCAGCAGUGAUAGGAAGGGUUUUUCUGUGGAACCCCAUUGGCUGUGUUGUCUAGUGCAGCAGUGAUAGGAAGGGUUUUUCUGUGAUUUUGUGCCUAAUCUUUAUUUGUGCUUUUAUAAUUGUAUUUUUGGUGUUACGACAGAUCCUCCUCGCCCCCCUGAGAUACACAUGACGCAGACGGACAGAUGACGGAGGCGUGUGAUAGAUAGAAGAAGAGAAAGGAGAGAGAGCGGGACUGACAUCAAAGAGAAAUAACAUCGCAAGGUGUCACACUAACUAACUAACUAACUAACUAAUUAAGCUAUGACUAAGUCAGUACUAACUACAGCAUUACUUCACAGUCAAACCAGACACACACACA
This is a long non-coding RNA of Oncorhynchus tshawytscha (Chinook salmon), 1879 nucleotides long. NCBI's taxonomy places the organism in Eukaryota, Metazoa, Chordata, Actinopteri, Salmoniformes, Salmonidae. The record is from Ensembl.